This 253-nucleotide ribosomal RNA is filed under the name uncultured bacterium. Its description in RNAcentral is "partial 16S ribosomal RNA". It matches the Rfam family "Bacterial small subunit ribosomal RNA", at positions 524 to 776 of the family's 1533-position model. The record is from RNAcentral.
UACAGAGGGGGCAAGCGUUGUUCGGAAUUACUGGGCGUAAAGGGCGCGUAGGCGGCCUUCUAAGUCGAACGUGAAAUCCCCGGGCUCAACCCGGGAACUGCGUCCGAUACUGGAAGGCUUGAAUCCGGGAGAGGGAUGCGGAAUUCCAGGUGUAGCGGUGAAAUGCGUAGAUAUCGGGAAGAACACCGGUGGCGAAGGCGGAGCUCUGGGCCUGUUCUGACGCUGAGGCGCGAAAGCUAGGGGAGCGAACAGG